Molecule: ribosomal RNA, 388 nt
Filed under: uncultured bacterium
Lineage: Bacteria
Description: partial 16S ribosomal RNA
Rfam family: Bacterial small subunit ribosomal RNA
Source: RNAcentral
AUACGUAGGUGGCAAGCGUUAUCCGGAAUUAUUGGGCGUAAAGAGUGAGCAGGCGGUUAAUUAAGUCUGAGGUUAAAGCGUGGGGCUCAACCCCAUAAAGCCUUGGCAACUGAUUGACUAGAGGACGGGAGAAGUGAAGGGAACUCCACGUGUAGCGGUGAAAUGCGUAGAUAUAUGGAAGAACACCAGUGGCGAAGGCGCUUCACUAGCCCGAAACUGACGCUCAGUCACGAAAGCGUGGGUAGCAAAUAGGAUUAGAUACCCUAGUAGUCCACGCUGUAAACGAUGACAACUAAAUAUUGCCGCGAGGCAGUGUUGAAGCUAACGCAUUAAGUUGUCCGCCUGGGGAGUACGGUCGCAAGACUGAAACUUAAAUGAAUUGGCGGGG